This 73-nucleotide transfer RNA is filed under the name Ursus americanus (American black bear). It matches the Rfam family "tRNA". From Rfam's summary of the family: Transfer RNA (tRNA) molecules are approximately 80 nucleotides in length. Their secondary structure includes four short double-helical elements and three loops (D, anti-codon, and T loops). RNAcentral also lists the same sequence under 2 other names. Lineage: Eukaryota; Metazoa; Chordata; Mammalia; Carnivora; Ursidae. The record is from Rfam by way of RNAcentral.
GCCUGGCUGGCUCAGACAGUAGAGCAUGUGACUCUUGAUCUUGGGGUUGUAAGUUCAAGCCCUACACUGGGCA